AAUGAGGCUGAUGUGUACAGGUCAAUAUGAUUUUGUCAUUAACCAUUAUUAUUUUGUUUAGGUCUUCGCUGGGACCUUGUCCCACACUUGACAGUCCCGGGGGAUAUCCAAGAGUUUUUCCGGCAUGAAUUUCACCGCGUGUCAGCACGUCUCCGUGUGAAAUAUUUUCACCACGCUGACCGCUUCCCCCUGAACAACCGUAAGCUGUGGUGCUGUGAUGGUGUGCACCCCAGUGACGACAUGGGGAUGCUUAUCCUUGUGGAGUCGCUGUUGGCUGUCACCAAACAGCACCUGGAGAUACUAGCAUACAUAGGAUUACGCUUGUGUGGGUCCUAGUCCCUUUUUUUUGUUAACCAACUGGUCUUUUUGUGUGUGUUGGGGUAGUUCCUAGGGGGUAGUCUAGCUGUUCUUAAGUGCAUUCACAAGACACCCGAAGAAGCCCAUAGAGAUACUGUUUGUGUGUCACAGAUGAUAGUCAGGUGUCUGGUUAUGACAAGUUCAAAGAGACAACUCCGUAGUUCUGGUUGGAGGAGGGUUCCUUGGGGGUAGUCUAGCUGUUAUUUUAAGUGCAUUCAAUGGCACAAGACAUGUUCCUGAUCAAAUAUGUAAUGUAAUUAAUGUAUGUAAUAAUUUGCAAUAAAAUUGUAUGAUAUUUUACA
Long non-coding RNA from Epinephelus lanceolatus (giant grouper), 659 nucleotides. RefSeq lists it as uncharacterized. The record is from RefSeq and is a predicted model, not a curated record. NCBI's taxonomy places the organism in Eukaryota, Metazoa, Chordata, Actinopteri, Perciformes, Serranidae.